This 1454-nucleotide long non-coding RNA is filed under the name Olea europaea subsp. europaea. The record is from RNAcentral. Lineage: Eukaryota; Viridiplantae; Streptophyta; Magnoliopsida; Lamiales; Oleaceae.
GCAUCUUCAGAAAACUUUUUGUGCUGCGUGAAAAAUAAAACAUUGUUUGUGCUGCGUGAAAAAUGAAAUUAAUGAACAAGAAAAAGAAAACAAAAUUAUUAAAUGACUAAAAGACCCCUAUGUAGGGUUGCGUUAGCCUCCUAUAAAUAUCGAACCAGUGGCCGCUCAACCCAUUUCAUUUCAUCCAAACAAUUCGGCGGCGGCUCCUAAACGAAUUGAUAGACAGAUUAACUCCGUGAAGAUUUUGGGCCGACAUGAGGGCUAAGGUUAGCACAACUUCAUUGAUUUAGCUUAAUUCAAUUUUAAUUUUUUAAUACAGCCCUGUUUUGAUUCGUGUUGUGAUUGAUAUUUACUUGUUUCACGAUCAUCCUUAUCUUCUAUGAAUGAUUUUUAUGCGUUCUCUAUACUGAAAUGUUGCGUUUGUAAUUCUAUGCUCUUAAAUAGUGAUGAAAAUUUCUUACGCUUUCAUACUUCUAGUUUUUCCUUAUUAGAUUACCUUGUCGUGCCAAAUACGUGUAAAGACCUAAGCUUUUUACCUGUGUUCGACUAUGCAAACCUAAUUUCGACUAUGUUCAUAUUAAGAUGUUGGAUGAACAAAUCAACAGAUGUUACUUGUUAAACUGUGGAUAUUGCUGCAUUUACCUACGUUUAUUUAUGAAAAAUUGAGAAAACGAAAAGGGGUUAGGGUUUCACUUGACUUGGAAGGUGAGAGAAUGUUGGUUCUUAAAUCUAGAGGCCCUAAAAGGAUGUCCAAACGUGAUUGCUAAUGCAUUGAUAAUUUUGGCUUGAAAACAAAAUUCUCCUGAGUAUGCGCUGCCUAUGCACCAUACUGUCUUUUAAGUUUAAUCUUGUUAAGUUACAUUCUCGUGCAUUUUACAGUGGAAGAAGAAGCGUAUGAGGAGGUUGAAGAGGAAGCGCCGAAAGAUGAGACAAAGAUCCAAGUAGAAGUUUGGACUAGGAUACCUGAGUGGGUCCUUUUGCAUGGACCAGCCUCUUCUUCAUUGGCCUUGGUUUUUCGGAUGAAUGGAAGGAAGUUCUGUAGAAAUAUGGAGUUGUCUUGUUUUCGAUUAUGUUCUUACUGAAGUGUUUUAGCUUAUAAUUAAGGAUUGUUUUGCAUUAUCAUUUCGAAUCUAAACAGAUUAUGAGACUUGUAUUGAACCUAUUCUAUCUAGUCUUCGCUUAUUUUUCUAUACUUUACGGAUUUUUGUUUCAGUUUUAAAAUUCUGCUUCUAUGUUGUGAUUGCAUUACACUCUUAAAAGAUGUCAAAGUUUAUUUUUAUCAUCAUUCUUUAUCGGAACCAAACAGGAUUUUGAGUUUAUUGGCAAGUAAAACAUGUAUGAUGAAGCAUUUUUACAAGCUGGAUUAUGUUAACUGUUAAUUCAAUAUUUUGUUAUUCCUCCCCAUCUCUUGUCCUCCAUUAUUUAUUUAUCGUCAUUGUAGUCAUCAACUAGCA